This 214-nucleotide long non-coding RNA is filed under the name Homo sapiens (human). Its description in RNAcentral is "non-protein coding lnc-PID1-4:1". Lineage: Eukaryota; Metazoa; Chordata; Mammalia; Primates; Hominidae. The record is from RNAcentral.
UGGUGUUUUUAAUCUGUAAAAUGGGGUGAUGAUUGUGUCUAUGUCCUGGGAUCAGUGUAAGGAUUAAAUGAGUUGAGACAGAUAAAGUGCCUAGCACAGUGCCUGGCUAAGUGCUGAAUUCAUAGUAGCUAUUUCAUCACUAUUGUUUUCAUGAUAAUGAUUACUAUUAAACCAUUGAUAAGCAGGGAACUUUGAACUUUUCAUUCUGGAACAA